Molecule: ribosomal RNA, 465 nt
Filed under: Vreelandella stevensii
Lineage: Bacteria; Pseudomonadati; Pseudomonadota; Gammaproteobacteria; Oceanospirillales; Halomonadaceae
Description: partial 16S ribosomal RNA
Rfam family: Bacterial small subunit ribosomal RNA
Source: RNAcentral
CCUACGGGGGGCUGCAGUGGGGAAUAUUGGACAAUGGGGGCAACCCUGAUCCAGCCAUGCCGCGUGUGUGAAGAAGGCCCUCGGGUUGUAAAGCACUUUCAGUGAGGAAGAACGCCUGGUGGUUAAUACCCAUCAGGAAAGACAUCACUCACAGAAGAAGCACCGGCUAACUCCGUGCCAGCAGCCGCGGUAAUACGGAGGGUGCGAGCGUUAAUCGGAAUUACUGGGCGUAAAGCGCGCGUAGGUGGCUUGAUAAGCCGGUUGUGAAAGCCCCGGGCUCAACCUGGGAACGGCAUCCGGAACUGUCAAGCUAGAGUGCAGGAGAGGAAGGUAGAAUUCCCGGUGUAGCGGUGAAAUGCGUAGAGAUCGGGAGGAAUACCAGUGGCGAAGGCGGCCUUCUGGACUGACACUGACGCUGAGGUGCGAAAGCGUGGGUAGCAAACAGGAUUAGAUACCCGUGUAGUC